AUUCGCAUUAAUUAAGGGCAGAUGGUGGAUGCCUUGGGUAGAAGAGGCGAUGAAGGACGUGGUGUGGCUGCGAAAAGCUUCGGGGAGCUGCUUAACAAGCUUUGAUCCGGAGAUGUCCGAAUGAGGAAACUCUAUUGAGACAAAUCUCAAUAACGCUUCGAUAUAAAAUCGGAGUGAGCGCACCUGGGGAAGUAAAACAUUUCAGUACCCAGAGGAAAAGAAAACAAUAUAACACAUUUCACUAUCGCAACGCGUGACGAUUGUCCGCCAACCGGCGGAAUCAGACAUUUCGCGAUAGUGAAGUGAGUUAUCCAUUCCCUGAGUAGCGGCGAGCGAAACGGGAAAAGUCUAAACCAGAAUUUUUCGCAAGAAAAACUUUGGGGUUGCAGGGCCAGAAAACACGUUUGUUUUUUUGUAGAAAAACGUUUUGGAAAGAACGACCAAAGAAGGUGAUAGUCCUGUAUUCGAAACAUAAAAACAAAUUAUUUUGGUUCCUAAGUACCUCGACAAACGAAAGCGUCGAGGGAAUCCGCGAGAACUAUACUCGCAAGACUAAAUACUCUUCUACACCGAUAGUGAACUAGUACCGCGAGGGAAAGGUGAAAAGAACCCCGGCGAGGGGAGUGAAAUAGAAACUGAAACCAUUAUGCCUACAAGGAAUCGGAGCCCCGGUUACGCAAGUAAUCGAGGGUGACGGUGUGCCUAUUGAAGAAUGAGCCAACGAGUUUUUCUUAAUGCUUUAUUUAAGUUCCCGCAGGGAACGAAGGUAUAGCGAAAGCAAGUGUUAAUAGCGCGUUGUAAAUAUGUUUUCAAAGCUUUGAGCAUAUUUACGUAGCAUUAGGAAAAGACCCGAAGCCAGGCGAGCUACUCUUGGACAGGGUGAGUCCUCUCGAAAGAGAGGAGGAGGCCCGAACUCGUGAGUCGUUUAACGCUCUGGGAUGAUCUGAGAGUAGAAGUGAAAAGCUAAUCGCGCUUGGUAAUAGCUGGUUCUCCUCGAAAUAGCUUUAGGGCUAGCGGUUAUUAAAACUAAUUAUGGGGGUAGAGCACUGGUUGAGACUGUCAGGGAGAAAUCUCGCUGUCUCAGUCAAACUCCGAAUACCAUAAUUUUCGAUAACCAGUCAGACUGUGGGGUCUAAGCUCCAUAGUCAAAAGGGCAUGAACCCUGACUCCAAUCUAAGGUCCCUAAAUUCUUACUAAGUGUUAAAGGUAGUGAUCAGCCGAAGACAGGCAGGAGGUUGGCUUAGAAGUAGCCAUCCUUUAAAGAGUGUGUAACAACUCACUACCAUAUCCGCCCUCGGGUGGAUUGGCUGGUCGCGCCGAAAAUUUAGCGGGGCUAAGUAAGAUACCGAAGCUGGAGAUUCUUUGCUUUUAGCAGAGAGUGGUAGAGGAGCAUUUUGCAUGCAGUGAAGUCGCAGUCGCGAGACGCGAUGGAGCGUGCAGAAGAGAGAAUGUUGGCAUGAGUAACCUGCAAUUGCGGUGAAAAACCGCAAGGCCGAAAACCCAAGGUUUCCUGGACAACGACAAUCGGUCCAGGGUUAGUCGGUCCUAAGUCGAUGCCGAAAGGCGCAGAUAAUGGACAGCUGGUUAAUAUUCCAGCACUUCUUAUUGAAUCGACGGAGUGACGGAGGAAAAAAGGUAGAGCGUAUUAAUGGAUUUACGUUGUUGUUUUUCAGAGCUGACUGUUUAGUAAAUCUGGCAGUCUCAGGUUUGACCAAAAGUUCGGAAAAUGACUGAACAGCCGUUUAGGCGGCUGAACUUUACCGAAGAGCCUUCCCAGAAAAGCUUCUAAGAUUAUUCAAUGAGAAUCCGUACCAAAACCAACACAGGUAGGUAAGGCGAGAAGCCUAAGGCCAACGAGUGAUUCGUCCCUAAGGAACUAGGCAAAAAAGCUGGGCGUAAGUUUGCAAUAUGCCCUGACCACAAAGCCGCAAGGUAGCGUGGCCCGCAGCUAAAGUUUGCUUGGCGACUGUUUACCAAAAACACAGCUCCCUGCGAACACGUAAGUGGAUGUAUAGGGGGUGAGACCUGACCGAUGCACCAAGGUUAAACCCGGCGCUGACUGCAACGCAAGUUGUAGAAGGUGACUGGGCGAAGCCCGUGUCAAUGUCGGCCUUAACUAUAAGGGUCCAAAGGUAGCGCAAUUCCUUGUCAGGUAAGUUCUGACGCGCACGAAAGGUUUAACGACUGAGCAACUGUCUCAGGGACGAGCUCGGUGAAAAUGCGAAUCCAGCGAAGACGCUGGGUACCCGCGGCAAGACGAAAAGACCCCGGAAGCUUCACUGUAUCCUGAUAUUGAUUUAAGGAUCAAGAUGCGUAGCGUAGAGGGCAGGAUUUGAAGGUUUGAUUUCGGUUAGACUGGAUCCGACAAUGAAACACCCUUCUUUUUGAUUUUUAAAUCUAACCAUGACGGCAAAAACGUUAAGGGACAGUGUUUGGAAGGCAGUUUACGUGGGGCGCGUUCCUCCUAAAGAGUAACGGAGGAGUUUAUUAAGGUCGGCUUGGGCAGGAUGGACAUCUGCCUGAAAGUGUAAAGGCAUAAGCCGGCUUAACUGCAAGGUUGACAGACCGCGCAGGUGCGAAAGCAGAACUUAGUGACCCGAUACGUCGUUGUAGAAGGCGUAAAGACACCGGAUAAAAGCUACUCCGGGGAUAACAGGCUGGUUUCGUCCGAGAGUCCACAUCGACGACGAAGCUCGGCACCUCGAUGUCGGCUCACCACAUCCUGGGGGUGAAGAAGCUCCCAAGGGUUGGACUGUACGUCCAUUAAAGUGGUACGCGAGCUGGGUUCAGACCGUCAAGAAGCGAAUUUGCCAACUGGCUGGCUUUUUGACCGUCUGAAUCCCGAGGAAAGACAAUAAGCGGCGGCCUCUGAUAGUAAUAUCAGAUGUGCACAGUCAACUCAUAUCGGUGGAACUGUAUUUUCUUGACCGGAAUUUACGGCAAUCCCGAGGGAAGUCAUCCUGAGUUUAUCGAAGGAUUGACCCCGUAGAGACUACACGUUGACUACCCCAUAGCUUUAUGCGAAGGGGUAAAGGUAUAGUCCGUGCAAAAUUUUCGAAAAUAGAGCGAAAAAUUGUAUGCGCAAGACAGGUCGGUCUCUAUCUGCCGUGGGCGUUGGAUAUUUGAGGGGAGCUGUCCCUAGUACGAGAGGACCGGGAUGGACAGACCGCUGGUGUACCAGCUUUCCUGCCAAGGGAACUGUUGGGUAGCUAUGUCUGGACGUGAUAAGCACUGAAAGCAUCUAAGUACGAAGCAUUCCCCGAGAUGAGAUAUCCUUAUAGAUCACUGGAAGACUACCAGUUCAACCUUGUGCUUUGCACAAGCGAUAGGCGUUAGGUGGAAGACUGGCAACAGUUUGAGCCGAGACGUACUAAUUGAUCGAAUAUGCGAGUGC
Molecule: non-coding RNA, 3394 nt
Organism: Candidatus Brennerbacteria bacterium
Lineage: Bacteria; Candidatus Brenneribacteriota
Source: Rfam